AUUGAACGCUGGCGGAAUGCUUUACACAUGCAAGUCGAACGGCAGCACGGGGGCAACCCUGGUGGCGAGUGGCGAACGGGUGAGUAAUACAUCGGAACGUGCCCAGUCGUGGGGGAUAACGUAGCGAAAGUUACGCUAAUACCGCAUACGAUCUACGGAUGAAAGCGGGGGCCCGUAAGGCCUCGCGCGAUUGGAGCGGCCGAUGUCAGAUUAGGUAGUUGGUGCGGUAAAGGCUCACCAAGCCGACGAUCUGUAGCUGGUCUGAGAGGACGACCAGCCACACUGGGACUGAGACACGGCCCAGACUCCUACGGGAGGCAGCAGUGGGGAAUUUUGGACAAUGGGCGCAAGCCUGACCCAGCCAUUCCGCGUGCAGGACGAAGGCCUUCGGGUUGUAAACUGCUUUUGUACGGAACGAAAAGGCUCUGGUUAAUACCUGGGGCUCAUGACGGUACCGUAAGAAUAAGCACCGGCUAACUACGUGCCAGCAGCCGCUGUAA
Molecule: ribosomal RNA, 500 nt
Filed under: uncultured bacterium
Lineage: Bacteria
Description: partial 16S ribosomal RNA
Rfam family: Bacterial small subunit ribosomal RNA
Source: RNAcentral